AGGGGGAUAACUACUGGAAACGGUAGCUAAUACCGCAUGACCUCGAAAGAGCAAAGUGGGGGACCUUCGGGCCUCACGCCAUCGGAUGUGCCCAGAUGGGAUUAGCUAGUAGGUGAGGUAAUGGCUCACCUAGGCGACGAUCCCUAGCUGGUCUGAGAGGAUGACCAGCCACACUGGAACUGAGACACGGUCCAGACUCCUACGGGAGGCAGCAGUGGGGAAUAUUGCACAAUGGGCGCAAGCCUGAUGCAGCCAUGCCGCGUGUGUGAAGAAGGCCUUCGGGUUGUAAAGCACUUUCAGCGAGGAGGAAGGCGUUAAGGUUAAUAACCUUAGCGAUUGACGUUACUCGCAGAAGAAGCACCGGCUAACUCCGUGCCAGCAGCCGCGGUAAUACGGAGGGUGCAAGCGUUAAUCGGAAUUACUGGGCGUAAAGCGCACGCAGGCGGUUUGUUAAGUCAGAUGUGAAAUCCCCGAGCUUAACUUGGGAACUGCAUUUGAAACUGGCAAGCUAGAGUCUUGUAGAGGGGGGUAGAAUUCCAGGUGUAGCGGUGAAAUGCGUA
RNAcentral lists this ribosomal RNA (560 nucleotides) under Yersinia sp. (in: enterobacteria). Its description in RNAcentral is "bacterial SSU rRNA". It matches the Rfam family "Bacterial small subunit ribosomal RNA", at positions 137 to 692 of the family's 1533-position model. Lineage: Bacteria; Pseudomonadati; Pseudomonadota; Gammaproteobacteria; Enterobacterales; Yersiniaceae. The record is from RNAcentral.